CGGGUAGAGUAAUACAUAAGUAACCUGCCCUAGACAGGGGGAUAACUAUUGGAAACGAUAGCUAAGACCGCAUAGGUACGGACACUGCAUGGUGACCGUAUUAAAAGCGCCUCAAAGCACUGGUAGAGGAUGGACUUAUGGCGCAUUAGCUGGUUGGCGGGGUAACGGCCCACCAAGGCGACGAUGCGUAGCCGACCUGAGAGGGUGACCGGCCACACUGGGACUGAGACACGGCCCAGACUCCUACGGGAGGCAGCAUG
Molecule: ribosomal RNA, 260 nt
Filed under: uncultured bacterium
Lineage: Bacteria
Description: partial 16S ribosomal RNA
Rfam family: Bacterial small subunit ribosomal RNA
Source: RNAcentral